Ailuropoda melanoleuca (giant panda) is the source of this 1920-nucleotide long non-coding RNA. RefSeq lists it as uncharacterized. The record is from RefSeq and is a predicted model, not a curated record. NCBI's taxonomy places the organism in Eukaryota, Metazoa, Chordata, Mammalia, Carnivora, Ursidae. The transcript is spliced from 6 exons.
UUCUGUGUACCCUGCGUUCCCCUAGAUUAGGCCAUAAAUUUCGGGGUCAGGAAGCUGUCUCCCCCUUGUUAAUGUUCCUCAAAAUUUCUAGCAGAGCAACAUGCAUGUGAAACCAAAACCAUCUCAGAAGAGUGCGUGCUGAGAAUGAAGAGCGGACAGACCACUGACAGGGGGAUGGGUACAGGCCCGGACCCGCCACUCUCCCUGAAGUGGCCUCUGGUAAAGCAAAAUGUGGAAGUCUCUGAUUGAUUUCCCAAGACUUUUGUUUAGUUCAGUUUUGUUUUGUAUCCAUGACAGUAGGGGCAGAAAGAAUUCUGAAGAGAAAAGAAGAGAGACUUCUCAAGUGCCUCCCAUGAGUUCCUGGAAAAGAUAGCCGGGGCCUCUUCUCCAGAGGGCCGAGCAGCAGCGGGCAGGGUCUGGCAGCAGAGCCCCAGAGGACAGCUGGGGGGGGCCAGCCCGGCUUGGUGGGUGACACCCAUCCCGCAGGCCCCCGGGGCUGCCAGUGCAGAGGAGCUCUUCCCCCUGCCGUGAGCAGUGGCAAGAACAAGAGUGUCUCCACUCAGUUCACUCUGCUAUUUUUAGGGGCUCAAAAAUCAGUUGGGAAGGUGGUGGGGCCAGGGCUCAAGGACUGGCCGGAGAAGCCUCCCGAGGGGUUACUGUCACUGUACUUCUCUGGGCCUCGGGUUCCUCAUCCGGGAACAGAACUCCUGCAUCGUUGACUUGGAAGGAAGAAACUAAAACACAGAAAGUGCCUGGGGUGUAUUGGUUGUUUGCACUCACCACAGGGUCCAGGUGCUCACAGCUGGUGAUGGCAGAGCUCAUGGCAACCAAGGUCAGCUCCUGUUGGCCUUGUCUCAGGAUGGAAACGAAGUGAACCUGCUCCAGUUGAAAGAGAUUAACGUCUCACUGCCUGCCAAAAUCUUGAGCUGGAAAGGAAAGCACUGAAGAUAUAGUCCGACCAGCCUGGCCUCUGAGAUACAAUAAUGAAGUCAUCAUGAAACAAAGGGCAUUACUGUUGAUCUGGAAGAAACUGCCAAGGUGCAUUGGCGGAGCAAAGCCCUCAGAAAAAGUUUGAGGACUCCUGCUCUGGAACACCGAUCUAAAAACUUGAUUUUUAAUCACUCCACUUUGAAAGUCUUUGGCAUAUCCUUUUUCAUCUUUAAUUGUAUAAUCAGCGAAACAGCCACGCCAUCAGGAAGAGGACAACAGCCGUGUCUGCUUCGUAUGCUUCACUGGCUUUCCAGAAGAGCUUUCCACCCGGACCUCCCCUACUGAGUGCAAGCCUGGAAGAGAAAUUUUCUUUCUGGGAAGUAGAACUCAAGAUUAUGAAAGCUGCAAAGAACUGUAGAAAAAAACGAAGCCCAGAGAAAGAGGGGAACUGCUUCAUCCACGUUCCUCAUCUCAGUGAAUGACAUCGCCAACCACCAAACACCCAACCCAGAGCUUGGUCUGCCAUAUGCAAUUCUUCCCAAGUUCUGUCAAAUCCUCCUCCUACAGAUGUUUUUUGCAAGUCCAUUCCCUCUAAUGCUAGCAAAUAUAUUAACUUCAUCUAAACCAACUUCAUUGCUCCUCUUUCAAUUCUAUGUCAGCAAUCCUAAGAUUUUAUGCAGAGCAGUCUGGAUAAACUUAAAAACAUAAAUCUGGUCAUGUCAUUCCCCUCUUUAAAAUUCUUCCUGAGUCCUGUGCCCUGAGGAUACAGGAAAACUAAGACCCUUAGCAUGGUCUGUGAUAUCCUUUAUGACUUGACUCCUUUGAGCUCCAUCACAGCCCCCAUCACACAGUGUCUGGCACACACAGUCGGUCCUCCAUUAACAAGAGUUGGGUUAAAUCAAAUGAUCCAAGCUUAUUCAGUCUGUCGCAGUCUUUAACUUGUGACUCUGAACCCUUGGGCCAGGUCCUUGUCCAGAAAGAGGUAGACUU